Molecule: ribosomal RNA, 253 nt
Filed under: uncultured bacterium
Lineage: Bacteria
Description: partial 16S ribosomal RNA
Rfam family: Bacterial small subunit ribosomal RNA
Source: RNAcentral
UACGAAGGGGGCUAGCGCUGUUCGGAAUUACUGGGCGUAAAGCGCGCGCAGGCGGUUUCUCAAGUCAGUGGUGAAAGCCCGGAGCUCAACUCCGGAACUGCCAUUGAAACUGUGAAACUUGAGGACGAGAGAGGUGAGUGGAAUUCCCAGUGUAGAGGUGAAAUUCGUAGAUAUUGGGAAGAACACCGGUGGCGAAGGCGGCUCACUGGCUCGUUUCUGACGCUCAGGCGCGACAGCGUGGGGAUCAAACAGG